RNAcentral lists this ribosomal RNA (179 nucleotides) under uncultured bacterium. Its description in RNAcentral is "partial 16S ribosomal RNA". It matches the Rfam family "Bacterial small subunit ribosomal RNA", at positions 1324 to 1500 of the family's 1533-position model. The record is from RNAcentral.
AGCUGGAAUCGCUAGUAAUCGCGGAUCAGAAUGCCGCGGUGAAUACGUUCCCGGGUCUUGUACACACCGCCCGUCACACCAUGGGAGUCGGAAAUGCCCGAAGUCUGUGACCCAACCUGAGAGGGAGGGAGCAGCCGAAGGCAGGUCUGAUGACUGGGGUGAAGUCGUAACAAGGUAUC